Molecule: non-coding RNA, 505 nt
Organism: Pelobates cultripes (western spadefoot toad)
Lineage: Eukaryota; Metazoa; Chordata; Amphibia; Anura; Pelobatidae
Source: the annotation of a GenBank genome assembly
GUUGGAACUAAGAGUAAAAACUGCUGAUUGACAUCUCUGAGGGGCUGGCUUAUAACUGUGUGAUUUUUACAAAUCUCUGCAGUUCUAAAUUACUCAAAGAGCUGAGAGCAAGUUCAGGGUAAUCUAUUCACCAUUAACACUGCAAUGACGCAAAGUUGUGAUGGUGCUUAGACUGACCCUUUAAUGGUGGUGGGAGAAGAAGUUGGUAAUGACCAGGAGUGAUGUAAGAGGGGGGUGGUGAUGCCUAAUGAUGGUGAGAGAGGGAAGGGUAAUACACAUUACCUCUGCAUUCUCUCAUCACCAUAAGACAUCACCAAUAGGCAUCACCUUCUCACUUUCACACCUUCAUUAGGAAUCUCCAGGGCUGCCAUCAGGAGCGUAUCUGUGUGUUUCUGUAUGAGUGUGUCUGGCAGUGUGUAUCUGUCUGACAGUGUGUUUAUGUAUGGGUGUGUCUGUUAGUGUGUAUCUGUCUGGCAAUGUGUAUCAGAAUGUGCGUCUGUCAGAG